GACGAACGCUGGCGGCGUGCUUAACACAUGCAAGUCGAACGGAAAGGCCCUGCUUUUGUGGGGUGCUCGAGUGGCGAACGGGUGAGUAACACGUGAGUAACCUGCCCUUGACUUUGGGAUAACUUCAGGAAACUGGGGCUAAUACCGGAUAGGAGCUCCUGCUGCAUGGUGGGGGUUGGAAAGUUUCGGCGGUUGGGGAUGGACUCGCGGCUUAUCAGCUUGUUGGUGGGGUAGUGGCUUACCAAGGCUUUGACGGGUAGCCGGCCUGAGAGGGUGACCGGCGACAUUGGGACUGAGAUACGGCCCAGACUCCUACGGGAGGCAGCAGUGGGGAAUAUUGCACAAUGGGCGGAAGCCUGAUGCAGCAACGCCGCGUGCGGGAUGACGGCCUUCGGGUUGUAAACCGCUUUCGCCUGUGACGAAGCGUGAGUGACGGUAAUGGGUAGAGAAGCACCGGCUAACUACGUG
RNAcentral lists this ribosomal RNA (468 nucleotides) under uncultured bacterium. RNAcentral's name for it is "partial 16S ribosomal RNA". It matches the Rfam family "Bacterial small subunit ribosomal RNA", at positions 28 to 507 of the family's 1533-position model. The record is from RNAcentral.